Homo sapiens (human) is the source of this 7384-nucleotide long non-coding RNA. RefSeq lists it as uncharacterized. NCBI's taxonomy places the organism in Eukaryota, Metazoa, Chordata, Mammalia, Primates, Hominidae. The record is from RefSeq and is a predicted model, not a curated record. The transcript has 2 exons.
UUUCCAUUUGAUUUGGCUAUGUACUCUGUGAUUUCACACCCCUUUUUUACAUAAAAGUUGGUAUAUGUUGUGUAUAAUUUUGACACCUUCUAAGUUUAUAUUUUAAAGAUCUUUUCAUAUGAGUAUAGAGAGAGUUUCUGAUUUUUUAUAACUGCAUUUUAUUCCAUACUGUGAGUUUAUUAUUUAAACCAGUUCCCUUUUUAUGGACCUCUAGGUUGUUCUCUUUUUUGUAUUGUAUACGAUGUUAUAAUUGAUAACCUUGUACGUAUGUAAUUUUUCACCUAAUUUUCAUGAGUAUAUAUAUUUAUAGUUUUAAUCGCUAUUGACAAAUUGCUUUCUGUUGAAGUUUUUACAUUCCCACUAGCAAGGUAUGAGAGACAUGUAUUUUUACAGCUUGGCCAAUAGUUAGGUAUUUUCACAUGUUUGCAUUUUUUUGCCAAUCUGAUAGGUGAAAAUUUAUACACACACACACAAACACACACACACACAAGUUGAGUAUCUCUUAUCUAAGAUGCUUGAAACCAGAAGUGUUUCAGAUUUUGGAUUUUUUUAGAUUUUUGAAUAUUUGCAUUAUACUUACUGUUUGAGUACCUCUAAUUCGAAAAUCCACAAUGCUUCAAUGAGCAUUUCCUUUGAACAUCAUGUUGGUGCUCAAAAAAUUGUGGAUUUUGGAACUUUUCAAAUUAGAGAUACUCAAUCUGUAUGUAUAUCUCUUCUCUCCUUUUUUUUUUUACAGGUGGAAUUUUACCCGAUGUGAACUGUUAUGUACCUAUUUUCAGUUAACACUGUUUUAAAACCUUUUCUACAUUACCACAUUUACUUCACUCUUUCUCACAGCUGCUAACAAUUCCAUUGUGAACUACCCACAAAACUCAGCCAUGUGUACAAAAAGUAUGUUCAGUGCAACAUCAUUUAUGGUAGCAAAAGACUGAAACAACCUAAUGCACAUUAAAUAAAGAACUGGUCAAACAAGUAUCUGUCAGAAUUGUACCUUACAACUAAAUUUUUAUUGCGAUUUCAGUUUUAAAAAUCUGAUUUGUGAUUUGUUCCAGUUCCUAUGUUCCAAAAAUAGACUCAGAUUGAAAUUUUAAAUGUUUCCAGUAAGCAUUGCAUUAGAGUUUCCCAUUUGAUCUUGCUUGUUUUGAUCAAGAGAAUUUUUAGUUGUUUCUGUCUAGAUGCAUUUUUAUUUUUUGUUGUUGUUGUUGUUGUUUUGGGGGGUUUUUUGGGGAGUAGUUUUUUUCUAGAUGCAUUUUUUAAAGCUUACUGUAUUUUAGUGAAAAUGUAUUCGUUUUUCUCUGAUUUUGCUAAAUAAUAAUGAGGCUUUUUUUUUAAUUUCUGAAUUGGGUAGAUGCUACCACUUUUUGGGUAUUUUCUAUUUAAAUGUAAACCUCAAGUAGGCUAGAUUCCACACCUUUAAAAAACAUUUAUUUUAAAUCUCAGAUUGGCUUUAACAAUGUCCUAAGUUGAAAUUUUAGGUCCUAACUUAGUUGCAAGUCAUCUUAGUUGUGAGUGCCCUCUUGUACUUCAUUAGGAUAAAGAUAAACGAACCCCUUGAUGAGAGGUGGCCCUGCCUUCCUUUAGUGGCUCUUUGGGACUGUAGGGCUGCUUUGGUAGUUACUUUUUGUCUGUGAUGAAGGGUGUAUUUGGGCUGGCAUCUGGCCAGUUCUCAUAUUUUUAUUUAUAGCAAAAUGCAGAACAUAGUUUCAAUUUCUAAAUAUAAACUGUUUUUUAGAAUUUCAUCCUGUGAGAUACAGUGCCAUAGUGUUGGGAGAAGUAUGUUCCAAAUUCAGAAGUACUUCUGUAGCAUCAAAUUGAUUUCAGUGACUCAGCAUUUCAACAAGUAUUUACCGAGCACCUAUUAUGUGCGCAGGCCCUUUCCUGGGUGCUGGAUAUCUAAUGUUGAAUAAGUUAGACAUUCUCCAAGUAUUACUGAAAAGUUGAAAUUCUGUUUUUAAGACCUUCUAUGAUUAAUUCUUCACAUGAUGUUCAGUUUUGUGUGGCCUGGGGUAUAACUGAAAGUUUCAUAAGAUCACUACGUCCUAUUUCCAUAUAGAUCAAAUAAAAGACUCUUGUCCAUCAUAAAUCUGAGCCACUGUUUAAUUGGACAUCCCAUUUUUUGCUUUAAUCAAAACUAGUUCUUUAGCUAUGAUUUAUCGUUUAUCUUAGUUCUUUCUCCUCCCUUCCAUUACCAAGAAAAUUGACUCUCUUUUUAUCAGCUUUUUUUUUUUUUAAGACAGAAAUGUUUUUAUGACUUCAUGUGCUUGUAUAUAUAUGAGACUAGGUAGAACUCUACAAAGCUGCGUCGGAACAGUGGAGAUUGGCUGGGUUCUCUCGUUAGCUAAGUGCCUCACUCUUGCUUUCCACCCUUAGAGAAUAUACAGAACAUACUUAUGCCUUAGCAAAAUUAAAAAUUACAAGUUAUAAACUCUUGGGGUUUAUCUCAAGUAAUCAAAAUCAGGGAUGUUAAUCCUGAAGACACCAAGGACUUACUGCUGUGUAAUAUUUCUACCAGUUAGGCCUUCAAUCAUUAUGAUGCCUAACAUCUCCUCAUGGGAUGACUUUAGACAUCUCGGAGCAAACUUACAAUUCCAGGUCUAAGGUGAGGAAAUGAAAAAGGAACUUCUUAAUUUUAUACAACUCACAGCUUGCAGGCCUGGGGUUAGGAUUUCUCAGUCCUUAAGCAGUACCGUCUUUAACAGACAAGCCCACAGGAGAACUUUGGCAUUGGUUCACCUCUUUCUCUGACAUAACCUGUGAACACCAGGCUCUGCUAGCAGGAGUGUAGCUGCCACAUCUUCUCCUCUUCUAGUGAUCAAAUUUCCGCAAUUAUUAUGUAAAGUCUAGAGCCAAAGAAGUUUAGAAACCUUGAAUGAUCAGUGAAGAGCUGAUUGAGCUUCUGCCAUUGCAUCAGGCACACAAGUAAACAGUUCCAAGUUCCAGCAGCUCAGGGUGCUGCUGGUACCUGCCAGCUUAUUAUCACCCUAUCAUCCCAGCAGAAGAUUUCAAGUUUUGAAUCUCUGAAAGUACAUAGGCUUAAAUGUUUAGGGACUUCAACAUUAAAGGGAUCUUUUAAGGAGAGAUAGAAAGGCUGCUAUUCAGACAGCAGGCAGGAGAACAAAUUUCUAAGUACUUUUAUUUGGGCCGUGGUCUAUUCUCUGGGAGCUGGCAAUCCUAUGAUCAACUUUUGCCUUCUAUUUAUAAAUAAAAAAUGAAAACACCAAGGAAAGGGUGAAGCUCUAACCAAAGAAUAAUGUGAACUAAAAAUGAUUAAGGCAAUACCAGCAACUAUAUUCAUUGGCCAAAAAAAAAAAAAAAAAAAAACUGGUAAUACCCAUAUAAAAGGAAAAUAAACCAAGAGUAAAAGUGAUUAAAAUAGCAACAAAGUUAAAACAAAGUAAAAUAAACAAAAUAAGGAAACAAGGCAUACUGUUGGGCUGUGACAAAUAAAGAAAACUUAAAUAAGAUAAUAAAAAAUAAAUACAGUAAAAUGAAAUAAGGAUUUGAGCCAGGGACUUUAUACGAUAUGUAUAGUUUAAGCCGGGAGGUUGGGAAAAUAGGCAUAGGUGUGCUCUUGCACAGAUAUUACUAGCAGGCUAAAUGGUAAACCUCUUUAUGAGUGGUUUUCAAGCUGUCUUCUGAGAAGCCCUGGAGCUAGUUUCUUAUAGGCCCUCUAGGGCGUGGCUUGGGGGAAGAAUAGGUCUGGAGAUAGGCCAGACCAUGCUGCCACAGGCCAUUUGCUUUUGCUUCUGUUUCUGCCAGAGAAACUGUGCCUCCAGCUGCCUUAUCGGUGUCUACAGAGAAAAUUCAGAGAGGACUGUGAACUUGCAUAAGAAUAAAAUUAUAUUUUUAUUUUCACUAACCUCAAUAAUAUUUAGCAUUUCUUUCAUUUAUGAAUGUAGGCAGCAGAUGACUAUAAUAUUAACAGCAUCUGUGUCUUUCUUGCCAAUAAAAAUCAUUGAUUUUUUCAUAUCACAUUACAUUUGUUACAGAUAUCACUGCUUAGAAAUUAUGUUAGUAAUUAAACCUACCGCUAGCUAGUGUUAUUUCAUGCAUUAAUAAAGCAGCACAUAUGUUACCAUAUCCCAAAGAUUUCUUAAUAUCUUGAUAAUUGUAUUUCAAUAUAAUUGGUUUCUGUUGUAAGAAACUAAUUCUGAGAAGCCUUCAUCAGACUGCCAGAGGGUUCAAGACAAAAAAUUGUUAGGAACCCUGCUGUGAGAUCUUGUUUGAAAAAUAGGUUCUUUUGCUUAGACUUAUUUUUAUUUCUUCCCUUAGGUUUUUUGGGUUUUAAAUACUCUGGGUCUUUGUUUUCUCUUCUUACAAAGAAGACUUUCUUAGUUUAGACCUUACCAAGUAAGACAAGCAUAUAAUUGAUGGGUUUUCUGUCUUCACAAUGAAAAUUUAGAUACAGCCAGUCUCCCAAGUUUCCCUACAGCACCGGAAAAAAGGUGUGGUGAGGAGUGAGAAGAUUUGGACAGGCCCUGAGAUGCUACCUGUCAGGAGACCAGCGCUGGCAGGGUGCUAGACAGGAGCAUUUCCGCUUUAUUUUGAUAUCACCAUCACCCAGUCCUUGGUGAGGAACUGGCCACAGACCUUUGGAGAAAGAACAAUUGCCAAAACAUACCCAUUGGGUCUUCCUGGUGUAUUGGCACUAGUUGGAAAAUUUUAGACCAGAUGACCUCUGAAGUCCUGCCAACUUCCGGAAUCUGAAAUUGCAACCUGGAUAGACUAAGUGAGUCCCUUGGAGCCAUGUGACAAGUCCAAGCUCCAGCUGUGGAUGAGGCCUGACUUCAAGUUCAGAAGCUCAUCAGCUAGCCCAGUGUAUCUCUUUGUGUCAGUUUUUUUUCCUAAGCAGUUUCAGUAAUAUACCAAAAGAUACAGACUCAAUGAACAUUUUGAAACCUCCUAACAGUGUGACAUAGAAUUAAUUAAACCUAGAAAAAAAUUAACAUAAAAAGAAAUUCAACAAUGAAAAUGUAUUAUCUUGUGGGGGAGGUACUAAAAAGACCCUGAAGGAGUCAGGAUGGGAAGAAAGAGGUGACUGGGGUCUUAGGACCAGUUUAGUCCCCACUUUGAUCUGUAGCUUUGAACUAGUUAGUGAACUCUCUGGACAUCAGCUUUCUAGAUGAGCAGAUCAUCUUGGAUGCCUCCCAAGGCACUUCCCAUAGCUAAAACAUAAUGUUUCUUAAUGUCACUGAUAAGAUUUUAUCACCAGAUGCCUCAGACUUUGAAAGCAUGUAGCUCUGGCUUUUUGUUUAGUUUCUCACGCAGAAUUUUAUUCACUUUAAAAUUGAAGUUCCAGCCGCCUUAACUAUGAAUAUCAAGAGAAAAACUAAUAGAUGUAAAAGUAAACAACAGAAAGGGUAGAAGAUCUCUUAUUCUCUUCUGGAUUUAGGUGACAGACUUCAUUUACUAUCUUGUUUGUGAAUAUAUUUAGUAAAUUUUGUGGUAUGAGAAGUUGGGUAUCCACUCUUAUUUAUCCUCUAGGUAACUAAUUUUUAUACAUAUGUACUUGCCUUUUUCCUGCAAGGCCCACAAACCACAUGUUUUUGAUGCCUUGUAUAUACAUGAGAUUUAAAAGGAGAAGGCUAAAGUAAAUCUGUUCUAAUAGCUACAGAACCAUUUGUAAAUUAAACCUUAAACUCCUAAAAUUUCACAUAAGAAUAUGUAUCCAAGUUCUUUUUUUUCUACAGUAUAAACCCCUUUUAUUGAAAAAUAUUUCUCCUGCCUAUUUUUAUAAUUGUAAAGUCAAAUUAAGGUACCAGGAAUUAUAGCUACAGGGCAAUGAGAAAGGCAUAACUAAAAUAUAGUUUUAUAUUUAUUAUAUAAACCCUACUUCAGUAGGGUUUUAAGUGUAACGCAGUUUGAUUUGAAAAUAAUUAAGAGAUCGUUUCAGAAACUGGUAUAAUAUUUAAGGGAGAGCUGAGUAGAUAAACAGAAGCUUCAAGGAGAGAUUUAUGGGAACAGAAGUUUCAGUUGAUUGCAUCAUGGUUUUUGAGGCCAAAGGCAAAUAAAUUCCUGAGUAUUUCCAGAUGCUGUGUGUCUAGGCAAGAGGACAUCUGAGGAGCUAGAAGUAUUUGAUGUGAAUUCUGUUUAGUGGUCUAGGCUGCUUUCAUUUUCAUGAUAGAUUUCCAGGUAUGUUUGUUUUGAACAGGCAGAUUUUACAUUUUGAGGUCUAUUCUGUUUUUUUAAUAGCAAUGCUGAUUUUAAGACAAAUAGUAUCACCAUUUUAUACCUAGUAAUAGGCAAAGCUGGGACUUAAAACUAGGUCUUCCAACACCAGAUCAUUACAGCACAUGAACAGUGUAUUCAUUAUGCACUGGCUGUUACAUAGUUCAGUGAUGGACACUACCAAGAGGUGAAACUCAAUCAUUAGUCUUCAUUGGUAAAAAUCUUGGCAGAGUUUUGAUAAGUCAAACACUGAAAUUAUGUGUUCAAGUGAGAACUUUGUGCAUCUCAUACGUAUAGAUUAGUAUAGUCCUCCAUUUGCUGAAUAAUAGCAGGUAAUAACAGACUUACACACUUACACAGUGCUUUCAGACUCCAGUUGGAAUGGACUACUGUUCUCUGAAUGUGCCUUCUACUUUCAUAUCUUGCCUAUGCUCUUCCCUCCCCACUGUCUCUUUCUAACAGAAUACAGCCUGUGUUUUAAGGCCUGUCCCAAAUUCUGCUACACUCAUAAACUUACCCUGAUUUUCACGGUUGAAUGUGAUCUCUCUGACCCAUCUAUAAAAUUUUGUUUUACCUAUUCAGGGGUGCUUACUUAUUUUGUUUUGUCUUCUGUCAAAAAUAUUUCUUUCUUUCUCUUUACCUGAGACACAGUAUAGUAUAGUAGACAAGAGUAUGGACUUGAGCCAGAGUGCCUGGAUUUGAAUGUCGAAUGUGCCAUCCAUUUCCUCCCUCAUAAAAUGAGUGUUAAAAUAGUGCCUGUGCUUUAGGGUAUUUAUGAGACUCCAAGAAAUUGAUAACGUUAUAAUGCCCUUAGAACAGUCUUGGGACAAAGAAGGUCAGUGCUCAAUAAAAUUUAGCUUUAAUGUUGACUAUACUAGAUUGUAACAUCGGGAGAAGCAAGGAGUAUUUAUUUCCCAUACUUCUCUCUUAUGGGAAAAUGUAUUUGAUUUCUGGUUUAGGUUUCCCUAACCAUCCGCACCACCCCUGCCCCAAGGGCAUCAAGGUGUAAGGGCCAUCAAGGCUCAGGAAUGUGGAGAAGUAGAUGCUUAGGAACACUAGUAGUUCAACACACAUUUAGAAAGGAUAUCACAUUUUGGGGGAAGCUUCCUGACCCUAAAAGACAGCAAAUCAAAUCUGUCAUACGUGUACCCGUAUUGCUAAGCUUACAGCCACAAACCAGAAGGGGGCAACAGAUCUGCUUACUAUCUGUGAAGAA